UCGAGAAUUUUUCGCAAUGGGCGCAAGCCUGACGAAGCGACGCCGUGUGAGUGAAGAAGGCCUUCGGGUUGUAAAACUCUUUCGCCAGGAAACAAGAGAGGUCGACAAAUAAUCGGCCGAUUUGAUGGUACUUGGUAAAGAAGCACCGGCUAACUCCGUGCCAGCAGCUGCGGUAAUACGGAGGGUGCAAGCAUUGAUCGGAAUUACUGGGCGUAAAGGGCGCGUAGGCGGCCAGGUAAGUCAGAUGUGAAAUUCCGGGGCUCAACCCCGGAGCUGCAUUUGAAACUACCCGGCUAGAGGUUGGUUAGGGAAAACGGAAUUCCACGUGUAGCGGUGAAAUGCGUAGAUAUGUGGAAGAACACCGGUGGUGAAGACGGUUUUCUAGGCCAAACCUGACGCUGAGGCGCGGAAGCUAGGGGAGCAAACAGG
RNAcentral lists this ribosomal RNA (429 nucleotides) under uncultured bacterium. RNAcentral describes it as "bacterial SSU rRNA". It matches the Rfam family "Bacterial small subunit ribosomal RNA", at positions 355 to 776 of the family's 1533-position model. The record is from RNAcentral.